This is a non-coding RNA of Podarcis muralis (Common wall lizard), 2027 nucleotides long. The record is from RefSeq and is a predicted model, not a curated record. NCBI's taxonomy places the organism in Eukaryota, Metazoa, Chordata, Lepidosauria, Squamata, Lacertidae.
UCCCUCUUGCAGGAAGCAGUGAGGGCCACCAACUUGGAUGGCAUUAAACAGGAUUAGACAAAUCCAUGGAGGAGAGGGCAAUUGAUGGCUUCUAGCCAGAAUGGUUAUGCUUUGCCUCCACAAUUAAUGGCAGCAAUGUUUCUGAAUACUAGUUGCUGGAAAACAAAAUACGUAAGGGAGAGGUCUCUUGUUCUUGAAUGCUGCUUGCAGGCUUCCACUUGAAGCAUCUGCGUGGCCACUUUGAGAAGAGGAUGCUGGGCUAGAUAGGCCCUUGGCCGUUUCCAGCAGAUCUCUUCUAAUUUCUUAUAAUGGAGGGAGUGGUGCUUUUGUUUGCAAAACCUAAACUUUACUCCAUUGCAGGCUAUUUCCCAAUCUUUGCAGGAAACGUCAAACUCUUAAUUGUGGUGGCGGCAGCCUCUGCUCUGGGUCUUGUGGAUGGAAAUGCAAACUCAGCAGACAGCAGAUUUCAAGUUCCUUCAGGUCAAUGUUUACAUGAACCGUCUCUCCGCCAGAGCCCAGAGCGCUGCUUGUAAAUGAAGAAAAAUCAGCAACUAAGGGCUAGGAUGGUGGAAGUAUCUGGGGAUCUCAUCAUUGUCAAUUUCAAUAAAUAUUCUAAAAAACAGAGAGCGAAAGAAGGAGAAAACCAGUUGUCAAGAAAGGAGAUUCCAUUUAAACCCUAGGCAGGGUAAGAGCUCUGAGGGCAAGAGCUGGUCAACAGUGCAAUGGACUCACUUGGAAGGUAGUGGGCUCUUCUUCCUUGGUAAUUUUCAAUCAGAGGUUAGGGGGCCAUCCAUCUGGGAUGCUUUAGCUGUGAUUCCUACAUUGCAAGGGGGUUGGACUAGAUGACCUUUGGAGGACCCUUCCCACUCUACAGUUCUAUGAUUCUCCCUCUAGGUGUACUCAAAGAGAUAUGUCAAGGAUGGAAAGCAGAAGGCAGCAACAGCUUAUUCACACUCCAAAGGGGUGAUCCUGAGUAUCAUGAAAUCCUCACAGCUGUGGAGCCAUAAAAGUAUAUGACCCACAAAGAAGCAUGCCUGACAGAUCCGUUGACAGUGGGGUGUUGACCAAGUUCCUUUACUUUUCACUGCAGGCAUCAUUCCCCUUGGGUCUGACCAGUCCACCCUCCUCAAAGAAAGUGCCUUGCUGCUCACAGAACCUUGGAAGGCAGUGUUGUAUGGUGACCCAACCCCAAGCUCUUUCUCCUGUGGGCUACUGAUAUGGACCACGUGACUUAGCAGCUCAUUCUCCCAUCCAGAGCGUGGUACCCAGUGAAGGCUGGUUGUGCCAUGGCAAUGAAGGUCUAGCACUACCAAGUGAAAUGUCAAGCAAUAAAAAAUAUAUAUUUUAGACCCCAAAUCUCAAAGGCACCCAGUAGAACUCAUAGACAUCUAACAAAGCUGAAUGUUGGAAUAUUUGGUACAGAUAAAAAAGAAAGCGCUUCUUCAUACAGCGUGGUGUUAAACUAUGGAACUUGCUGCCACAGGAGGAAGCAGUGGUCACCAACUUGGAUACCUUUGAAAGAACAAAUUCAUGGAGGACAAGGUUCUUGAUGGCUACCAUCCUGGAUGGCUCCAUCAUGGUCAGAGAAAGGCCAGCAUGGCUACAGCCAGAGCUCUCAUUCCACAGUGUAUUCAAAUAAGUGGAGAUGUAGAAUCAAAGAACGGCAGAGUUGGAAGGAACUCCAAGGGUCAUCUAGUACAACCUCCUCCAAUGCAGGAAUCACAGCGAAAGAAUCCGUGCUGGAUGGAGUGCCACCCAAUCUCUGCUUAAAAACCAACAGAGGAGGAAUAAUCCCCUUGAAAGCUUCCUGCGAAAUACCCCCAAAGCAGCAUGAAUCCAAAGAUGGGGAGAAGGCACAGAGUUCAGCAAUGAGGAAUACUCUUUUCCCAGGGAACUUUGUGAAUUCAGUCCCUGGCAUCUGUCAUUCAAUCAAUCUCUAGGGAUCUGAUCAACUUUCACUUCCGUUGCAAGAAAAAAUGGACAGGUUUGGGCUAUCGAAGGCCUCCUUCAGAACAAGGCAGCUUCGU